RNAcentral lists this ribosomal RNA (492 nucleotides) under uncultured bacterium. RNAcentral describes it as "partial 16S ribosomal RNA". It matches the Rfam family "Bacterial small subunit ribosomal RNA", at positions 29 to 507 of the family's 1533-position model. The record is from RNAcentral.
AGUGAACGCUGGCGGUAGGCCUAGCACAUGCAAGUCGAACGGCAGCACAGUAAGAGCUUGCUCUUACGGGUGGCGAGUGGCGGACGGGUGAGGAAUACAUCGGAAUCUACUUUUUCGUGGGGGAUAACGUAUGGAAACUUACGCUAAUACCGCAUACGACCUACGGGUGAAAGCAGGGGAUCUUCGGACCUUGCGCGAUUGAAUGAGCCGAUGUCGGAUUAGCUAGUUGGCGGGGUAAAGGCCCACCAAGGCGACGAUCCGUAGCUGGUCUGAGAGGAUGAUCAGCCACACUGGAACUGAGACACGGUCCAGACUCCUACGGGAGGCAGCAGUGGGGAAUAUUGGACAAUGGGCGCAAGCCUGAUCCAGCCAUACCGCGUGGGUGAAGAAGGCCUUCGGGUUGUAAAGCCCUUUUGUUGGGAAAGAAAAGCAGCAGGUUAAUACCCCGCUGUUCUGACGGUACCCAAAGAAUAAGCACCGGCUAACUUCGUG